AAGUCGUAACAAGGUUUCCGUAGGUGAACCUGCGGAAGGAUCAUUACAGAGUUCAUGCCCUUCGGGGUAGAUCUCCCACCCUUGUGUAUCAUUAUAGAAUGUUGCUUUGGCGGGCCGCGUGCCUCGCACGCCUGGAUUCGCGUCCGGCGUGCCCGCCAGAGGACCCCUAAACUCUGAAUGUUAGUGUCGUCUGAGUACUAUUAAAUAGUUAAAACUUUCAACAACGGAUCUCUUGGUUCUG
Molecule: unclassified non-coding RNA, 241 nt
Filed under: Lachnum sp.
Lineage: Eukaryota; Fungi; Ascomycota; Leotiomycetes; Helotiales; Lachnaceae
Description: partial internal transcribed spacer region
Rfam family: Eukaryotic small subunit ribosomal RNA (bases 1-46)
Source: RNAcentral